GAUGAACGUUGGCGGCGUGCCUAAUACAUGCAAGUCGAACGAAGACUGUAGUAAUACUGUCUUAGUGGCGAACGGGUGAGUAACGCGUGGGUGACCCUGCCCCGAAGUGUGGGAUAACAGUUCGAAAGAACUGCUAAUACCGCAUAAUAUCCAAGAGAUUAGACGCUUUUGGAUUAAAGGAGUAAUUCGCUUCGGGAGGGGCCCGCGUCCCAUCAGCUAGUUGGUAAGGUAAUGGCUUACCAAGGCGAUGACGGGUAGGGGACCUGAGAGGGUGGCCCCCCACAAUGGAACUGAAACACGGUCCAUACACCUACGGGUGGCAGCAGUAGGGAAUAUUAGUAAUGGGCGAAAGCCUGAACUAGCAACGCCGCGUGUGCGAAGAAGGCCUUCGGGUUGUAAAGCACUUUUUGAGAGGAUGAGGAAGGACGGUACUCUCAGAAUAAGUCUCGGCUAACUACGUG
RNAcentral lists this ribosomal RNA (461 nucleotides) under uncultured bacterium. RNAcentral's name for it is "bacterial SSU rRNA". It matches the Rfam family "Bacterial small subunit ribosomal RNA", at positions 28 to 507 of the family's 1533-position model. The record is from RNAcentral.